UGUGUGUGUGUGUUUGUGUGUGUGAGUGUGUGUGUGUGUGGGUGUGUGUGGGUGGGUGGAUACAUACCAACAGGGAUGAGGAGAAAGCGGAUGUAACUCAG
This is a long non-coding RNA of Melanotaenia boesemani (Boeseman's rainbowfish), 101 nucleotides long. RefSeq lists it as uncharacterized. The record is from RefSeq and is a predicted model, not a curated record. Lineage: Eukaryota; Metazoa; Chordata; Actinopteri; Atheriniformes; Melanotaeniidae. The transcript is spliced from 3 exons.